This is an RNA transcript of Salvia miltiorrhiza (redroot sage), 4228 nucleotides long. RefSeq lists it as uncharacterized. The record is from RefSeq and is a predicted model, not a curated record. The transcript is spliced from 9 exons. Lineage: Eukaryota; Viridiplantae; Streptophyta; Magnoliopsida; Lamiales; Lamiaceae.
ACUCCCACAUUAUUCAAAUCCCAAAAUCCCCAACGAAUUCCUCCACAUUUUCAGUGCUUCUCAAUUACUUCUUCCCUCUCUUUCGCGACAAGAAUUAUGCACAAGAAUUAACAUAAUGGAGAUGCUUUCGUCGCGAAUCAACCAAUUGUACUAGAAGAAGAGCAGCGGCGGAGAGGGAAGAAUGGUCGGGGGAUCGCAGAUGUCGUCAUGGAAGGAGCGGGAAAACAACAAGUGCCGGGAGCGGCGGCGGAGGGCCAUGGCGGUGAAGAUAUUCGCCGGCCUCCGCCUCUACGGCUCUCUGCCACUAGCCCGGCUGGACAGCCGAGCCCGACGGGACCACCUAUCGCAAGGUCAUUUUCUCAAUUACCCGAUUUUCGAUCAAAUUCACAAUGUGUUAAUAUUGAUAACUAGCUUUUCCUCCCUUUGUUGACCAUGAUAUUUGCAGCAUCAAAUUAUAUUCUGUUAUGUGAUAAAAGUAAAAUAUGAGCAAGCAAAUGAGUGAAAACCCAUUGAAGCUGGAGGGGCGGAAAAUGAAAACCGUGAAGAAGACGCCCGGACAUUAUCAGAUUUUGUUCCACUGAAGCCAGGUCUCAAGCACAUUUGCAGGGGCAUCCUUCAUCAACAUUAGGGGUGCAACGCCCAGGAACUUUGCCUCAUUCUGGACAAUCAAUUAACUCGACUGAAGGGAAGGUGCCUGGUAAUCUGGGUGGUCUCCCUAAGAGCUUUGAAUCCCUUUAUGGUAAUCAAGGACCUUCCCUAAAUACUCUUGGUGAGGCACGUGAGACUAUGGGAAAACCUCCAUUUGAAAGUCAGUAUGGUUCCCAACAUCUUGUUAGGCCAAUGUCGAGUGAUCAGAUGUCAGGCUCUGGUGAAUGGCACCCUCUCAUCAAAUCUCAUUCCGACGAGCCAAAUUAUGUGAAAAUGAAUGGGGGUGCAGCUCCUGACCCCUCUACGUUUGGCUCUAGAGAUGAAAAUUCAAAUCACAUGCCCAAGGAGCAUUUAAAUCCUUUUCCCAGGGAGGUAACUCGCACUUUUGACCAAGCGCCAAGGUUGCUUCAUAAACCUCGCCAUGGGCAUGGUUAUGAUGCUGUAUCUAAGUUGGAUCCAGGUGCUACAGGCCCGUAUUCAAGAUUCUUGCCGCAUCAUCAAUCUGGUGGGCAUGGGCAUGUGGAUAUAUUCUACGGUAGCUGAACUUCGAUGCGCUCUGCCUCGCCUCCCCUGCUUUUAUGCCCGUGAUCCUGCUCCUGAUUUCAAUGCUAACCAGAUUACAAUUUCUUCUCUAUUGGAGAAUGCUCGGAAAUGUAACCAGAUUACAACUUCUUCUCUAUUGGAGAAUGCUCGGAAAUGUAAAAAACAAAUGGGUGAUUCGUUUUUGUCUGUUGAGCAUCUAGUCUUGGCAUUCGCUUCGCUGCUGCAGGAGGGUGCUCGUCUCAGUGGAUGUUAAUGGUUAUCAGACAACACAUGUUGCAGCACAGUAUGGUCAAACGGCUUUCCUUUGUCACAUUGUCGCAGAAGUGGAAUGCUGAUGUUGAUGUUCCUGUAAUGAUGGAAGAAGCCCAUUGCACUGGGCUGCUUACAAGGGAUUUGCUGACUGCAUUCGCCUUCUGCUAUAUCUGAAUGCUCAUAGAAUGCAGCAAGAUAAAGAAGGGAAAUGCUAGAAGGUUGUUUUACAAAUGAUGGGAUAACAACAGCUUUCUCGGAAGACUUUCAAAGCUAGGACUUGCUCCAAUUCUUUGGUGUAUAAUUUUCCUGAUGCUUGCAACAUAUAUACAUUCAGUUAUUAUGGCUUCAAGUCUGCCGAGAUUAACAGCUGGCUUUGGUCUUUUUGCCUUGAUGGCAAGGACCCUGACUUUAUCAGAAUGAAUGUUCUUGAUCUAGAAAAUAUGAAAGAUGAUUGACUCAGCGGGUUCGACACUUUUUGAAGUUGUAUAUGGGCGCCCUCCGCCUAAGCUUGGGAGUUUCUUACCAUCUGAGAUAAGAGUCAGGGCAGUGGUUGAUGAGUUAACAACCAGGGAUGAUGUUCUUCGUCAUCUCAAGGAACAUCUUGAGCGUGCUCAACAACGUACGAUUCAUGCUGCCAAUAAGUGUCGCAGAGAUGUGCAGUUUGCAGUGGGCCAAAAAGUCUUUCUCAAGCUUCGACCACAUCGACAAUCCUCUUUAUUUUGGUCAGGGAGUGUAAAGUUAGCUGCAAAAUUUUAUGGACCUUUUGAAAUUCUGAAAAGGAUUGGUCCUGUUGCUUAUCGGCUACUACUUCCAGCUUCUUCGUGGUUACAUCCUGUUUUUCACGUCUCGCAACUUAAGACGAUGGUGGGCAAUCAUUCAGUAGAAACCGAGUUGCCCAAAUAAUUGAGGCAGUCUGAUCCCGAAUUUGUUCCUGAAUGGAUUUUGCAUGACCGUUGGAUUUGGCAAGGAGAUGAGCGUGUCCAUCAAUUAUUGGUGCAAUGGAAGGAUAAGAGAUCAACGAGGCAACUUGGGUGGGAGAGGAUGAGUUCAGUGGGCAAUUUCCAGAAUUCAGCCUUGAGGACAAGGCUGUUUGGAAGGAGGGAGGAGUUGUUGCAGAGAGAUUUUAUCGUAAAAGGUCGAAAGCGAGCGUGUAGCUGCUUUGUUUAUUAUCUUUUUAGUGUUAGCUUAGUAUGUUUUGAUUAAGUAUAAGUUUGGGCUGCUAGUUCCUGCAUGGGCUUAGCAAGCCCACUUUAUAGUUAAGCUUCUCUUGGAAGCUACUAUUGACUUCCCCUAGAAGUCAAGCUAGGAAAUAAAAGAAGUCUCUCCUUUGGAGGAGGACUUGUCUAGGAUCUUUUGGCUGGAAAAUCAGUGGCUAAUUGUCAUUUGAGCAUAGAGAGUUCCUCCUCUGUUGUAGUUUGUCUUUUGAUUAUCUAUAUAAUUCUUCUUAGCUCGGUUGUGUUUGUGUUCUCUUUACUUCUAUCAGAACUAUUACGGGGCCUGAUAUCAAGGAGCAAUUAUGAGUCUAUUAUUGAGGAACAAGGCAACUAGGCUGCACGCUGCAUGCUGCAAAUGCCAAAGAUAGAGGCAAUAAGAAAAGCCAAGAAGAUGCAGGUUUUAUCAUUCGGAAACUAAAGAAGGAGAUAUCAGCCCUUAGUAUUAGAAACUGCUAUCUUCUAUCUUCAGUUUCAUGAGUUUGAUACAUAUAUGAGGUGCAUCCAUUUUCUUGUAUUCAAAUCAGUACUAUCAGUUGAUAUCUUGGAAUCUGGAUUCGUAAGUUCUUCCCAUGGUGUUACUGAGGAUAAAGGACAAGAAUUCAGAUAACUCUGGAGGCAAUGCUGCUAAUAAAUGUGACAUUGUAGAUGAAACAGAGUUUAGGGUUCACUUGAUCAAAUAGGACUUGAUAGCUUUAACUUACAUGAACAGUCAUCUGGUACCGCUUCUGUAAGCAUCUAUAUGCAAAGCGGAGAUGCUUUGGAUGAGAAAUCAGACGACGCAGAACUUGGUGAUUUCUUUUUGGAAGGCAGUUCAUUGGAUCAAGUCUUACCUCAUGAGAUAUUGGAAGAACAAAAGAGAGAAACUGUGAGAACUUUGUAGCGACAAAAAUUUAGAGAAAAUGGAAGCGAUUUGGGAGAAGUUGUAUUACCAUAGGGAGAUCCAAAAAGGAUUCCAAAGGCUGUCCUUCACCAACUUUGCCAAAGAUCAGGGUGGAUGCACCAAAAUAUGAUAAAAGUUCUUGGUACAGGGAGCAGUUCUGGUUACUCUAUCAGUGUGCUGCAGACAGCUAGAGGGAGGGGUAAAAGUAGAAUAGCUGGAGGGUUGACGACAGUUCAGCUUCCACAUCUGGAUGAAAUUCUGAAUACACCAGAGGUACACACUUAUCUGCUAUUGUGAAUUGUGAUUAGUUGAAGAGUUAAUGCUAAACAACCACACUCAAGAACUAAUACCUUCCAGCAGUUUACUGUAUAAGAUAACAUAUGACUCUUUGCUUAUCAAAUUCAUAUUGAAUAGAGUACUUUCAACAUCAUCUCUGUGGGGAAACAAAUGCAUACUUACAAGAAUUGCUAGAGAAAUAAUUAGAGAUUUUCCUUGAUCUCUGAUAGACCGUGGCACUUCUGUUUUCUUUUCUUUUUCUUUUUAAUUGAAUCAGUUAUUUAUUCUAUAGGCAUAUCAUAGUUGGAGUUGUUUAUGUGGAAUAAUAGUAUUGUUCAGGGACAGUUAUUGUUGUAGGCCUCGGUGAGGAGUUUUCCGAUAUUUUCUUUUGUUUAUAAUAUUUUCGUUCAGUUCU